UACGUAGGGUGCGAGCGUUAAUCGGAAUUACUGGGCGUAAAGGGUGCGCAGGCGGUUCCGCAUGUCGGGCGUGAAAUCCCCGGGCUUAACCUGGGAAUGGCGUCCGAAACUAUGGGACUGGAGUGUGGCAGAGGGAGGUGGAAUUCCGCGUGUAGCAGUGAAAUGCGUAGAUAUGCGGAGGAACACCGAUGGCGAAGGCAGCCUCCUGGGAUAACACUGACGCUCAUGCACGAAAGCGUGGGGAGCAAACAGG
This 253-nucleotide ribosomal RNA is filed under the name uncultured bacterium. RNAcentral describes it as "partial 16S ribosomal RNA". It matches the Rfam family "Bacterial small subunit ribosomal RNA", at positions 524 to 776 of the family's 1533-position model. The record is from RNAcentral.